AAAAACUCCGGUGGUAUGGGAUGGGCCCGCGUCUGAUUAGGUAGUUGGCGGGGUAAGGGCCCACCAAGCCGACGAUCAGUAGCCGACCUGAGAGGGUGGCCGGCCACAUUGGGACUGAGACACGGCCCAAACUCCUACGGGAGGCAGCAGUGGGGAAUAUUGCGCAAUGGGGGAAACCCUGACGCAGCAACGCCGCGUGAGUGAAGAAGUAUCUCGGUAUGUAAAGCUCUAUCAGCGGGGAAGAAGGAAGACGGUACCCGACUAAGAAGCCCCGGCUAACUACGUGCCAGCAGCCGCGGUAAUACGUAGGGGGCGAGCGUUAUCCGGAUUUACUGGGUGUAAAGGGAGCGUAGACGGCGUCGCAAGUCUGAAGUGAAAGCCCGUGGCUCAACCGCGGAACCGCUUUGGAAACUGCGAGGCUGGAGUGCUGGAGAGGUAAGCGGAAUUCCUGGUGUAGCGGUGAAAUGCGUAGAUAUCAGGAGGAACACCGGUGGCGAAGGCGGCUUACUGGACAGUGACUGACGUUGAGGCUCGAAAGCGUGGGGAGCGAACAGGAUUAGAUACCCUGGUAGUCCACGCGGUAAACGAUGAGUGCUAGGUGUCGGGGGGCAAAGCCCCUCG
RNAcentral lists this ribosomal RNA (621 nucleotides) under uncultured bacterium. RNAcentral describes it as "bacterial SSU rRNA". It matches the Rfam family "Bacterial small subunit ribosomal RNA", at positions 202 to 842 of the family's 1533-position model. The record is from RNAcentral.